AAUCAACCAGAGAAGCUGAUUGAAUGCUGGCUUCCUGCAGAAUAAGAGAGACCAUACUGAGACCUUCAUUGAACUGCUUCUGGUGUUCCAGCUCAGUCUGUCGAAUGCAGGUCUCUGUCACUGCCUCCAUUUCUUCCUUGAAUGCUCUGGUUGAAGAUGUGUGCACCUUGUCUAAAAAGCCAGCUGGGAUGCCACAAAUAGUGUCUGUUCUAUUUAUGACCAAAAAGUAAUUACAAUGGAAUUUAAAGACUCAGUUUAUAGAUCUAAGACGAGGAUCUUCUGUGUACACUAAGAAGAUGAAUCCUUUCCAGACCACUUCUUAUUUGGCUGAAGAUGAACUUGAGGAAGCAUUUUGGAGUGUCAGCCAAGGCUGCUUUUAGAAAGACCUGGGUGGGAUUCAUACUGUUGAUAUCCAAAUAAAAAGAGGCCCUGAUUUUAA
This is a long non-coding RNA of Pogoniulus pusillus (Red-fronted tinkerbird), 439 nucleotides long. RefSeq lists it as uncharacterized. The record is from RefSeq and is a predicted model, not a curated record. Lineage: Eukaryota; Metazoa; Chordata; Aves; Piciformes; Lybiidae. The transcript is spliced from 2 exons.